This is a long non-coding RNA of Mustela lutreola (European mink), 682 nucleotides long. RefSeq lists it as uncharacterized. The transcript is spliced from 4 exons. Lineage: Eukaryota; Metazoa; Chordata; Mammalia; Carnivora; Mustelidae. The record is from RefSeq and is a predicted model, not a curated record.
CCAUUUUGCAAAGCUCUGCGGUUGACGGAUCUCCGGGCCUCUGGAGCAUCCGCCCUCGACAAGGAAGGAAGGAAAGAAGGAGGAAGGGAGGGAAGAAGGAAGGAAGGCCGAUCAAAGACCAUAGUGAGAAUCUUAUUAACGCUCUGAAACUUCUCGCAAUAAAAUCAACGUAAACAGAGAAUGUUCCAUAAAACUCCAGGACUUUCAUGCAUUCCCAGAAACCUAUUCUGGGGACCGCCAGGUCAUCGCUGCAGGAAAGAAGGAGAGGACAAACAUCUAUCACCAUACUGGCGGCAAAGACAAAGAUAUGGAGUCUUCAGAGAAAGCUACAAGCAAAGAGGGCUGGUGGCUCAGUCCUAACCGGGUCUCAGGAUGAGGAAUGACAAUGUUUGGAAGCAUCUUCAACAUAAUUGUGGUACCCAAGAGAACUUUCAAGAUAUAAGCCAGCAGUAAAAUAGUUGUAGAACUGAAGAGCAAAGCAGAAACCGUAAAUGAAUUAUUAUAACCGCUCCAAUUCAGUGUAAAGUUUUUGCUUCUAAGGGCAUAACACUCAGAUACCUACUGAGCGUAUGUACGUGCAUCUGUGAACCGCAGUGGUUAAUCAAGUUAAAAUUCAAGGUUGGGGUUUUGGUUUCUUGUUUUGUUCUGUUCACAUGAGAAGGGGAGAUAUGGAACAGUUGAA